UUCUUUUGUAAGUGAUUUUUGAUGGGUUUAGGGGGGGGGGGCUUAUAUGCACAGGGGCCUUAUACAUGGACGAUCAAUUGUGUUAGUAAUAAACAAGUCAGUCAUAAACAGGAAAAUAAACAUGUAUUAACAUAGUAAGCUAUAAAGAUAAUGACAGUGUUUCAAAUAUCAUUCUCUGCUAUAUUAAAAGACAAUGUCAAUGUUAAAUAACAUAGUGGAAUACUGGGCUUAUAUUCAGGGGGCUUAUAUUCAG
Molecule: non-coding RNA, 253 nt
Organism: Paramuricea clavata
Lineage: Eukaryota; Metazoa; Cnidaria; Anthozoa; Malacalcyonacea; Plexauridae
Source: the annotation of a GenBank genome assembly